ACGGGUGAGUAAUGCCUAGGAAUCUGCCUGGUAGUGGGGGACAACGUUUCGAAAGGAACGCUAAUACCGCAUACGUCCUACGGGAGAAAGCAGGGGACCUUCGGGCCUUGCGCUAUCAGAUGAGCCUAGGUCGGAUUAGCUAGUUGGUGAGGUAAUGGCUCACCAAGGCGACGAUCCGUAACUGGUCUGAGAGGAUGAUCAGUCACACUGGAACUGAGACACGGUCCAGACUCCUACGGGAGGCAGCAGUGGGGAAUAUUGGACAAUGGGCGAAAGCCUGAUCAGCCAUGCCGCGUGUGUGAAGAAGGUCUUCGGAUUGUAAAGCACUUUAAGUUGGGAGGAAGGGUUGUAGAUUAAUACUCUGCAAUUUUGACGUUACCGACAGAAUAAGCACCGGCUAACUCUGUGCCAGCAGCCGCGGUAAUACAGAGGGUGCAAGCGUUAAUCGGAAUUACUGGGCGUAAAGCGCGCGUAGGUGGUUCGUUAAGUUGGAUGUGAAAUCCCCGGGCUCAACCUGGGAACUGCAUCCAAAACUGGCGAGCUAGAGUAUGGUAGAGGGUGGUGGAAUUUCCUGUGUAGCGGUG
This 584-nucleotide ribosomal RNA is filed under the name uncultured Pseudomonas sp. RNAcentral describes it as "bacterial SSU rRNA". It matches the Rfam family "Bacterial small subunit ribosomal RNA", at positions 102 to 683 of the family's 1533-position model. The record is from RNAcentral. Lineage: Bacteria; Pseudomonadati; Pseudomonadota; Gammaproteobacteria; Pseudomonadales; Pseudomonadaceae.